This 483-nucleotide ribosomal RNA is filed under the name uncultured bacterium. Its description in RNAcentral is "partial 16S ribosomal RNA". It matches the Rfam family "Bacterial small subunit ribosomal RNA", at positions 30 to 507 of the family's 1533-position model. The record is from RNAcentral.
UUGAACGCUGGCGGCAGGCCUAACACAUGCAAGUCGAGCGGAUGAAGGGAGCUUGCUCCUGGAUUCAGCGGCGGACGGGUGAGUAAUGCCUAGGAAUCUGCCUGGUAGUGGGGGAUAACGUCCGGAAACGGGCGCUAAUACCGCAUACGUCCUGAGGGAGAAAGUGGGGGAUCUUCGGACCUCACGCUAUCAGAUGGGCCUAGGUCGGAUUAGCUAGUUGGUGGGGUAAAGGCCUACCAAGGCGACGAUCCGUAACUGGUCUGAGAGGAUGAUCAGUCACACUGGAACUGAGACACGGUCCAGACUCCUACGGGAGGCGGCAGUGGGGAAUAUUGGACAAUGGGCGAAAGCCUGAUCCAGCCAUGCCGCGUGUGUGAAGAAGGUCUUCGGAUUGUAAAGCACUUUAAGUUGGGAGGAAGGGCAGUAAGUUAAUACCUUGCUGUUUUGACGUUACCAACAGAAUAAGCACCGGCUAACUUCGUG